This 74-nucleotide transfer RNA is filed under the name Candidatus Uhrbacteria bacterium. RNAcentral describes it as "tRNA-Arg". It matches the Rfam family "tRNA". From Rfam's summary of the family: Transfer RNA (tRNA) molecules are approximately 80 nucleotides in length. Their secondary structure includes four short double-helical elements and three loops (D, anti-codon, and T loops). Further hydrogen bonds mediate the characteristic L-shaped molecular structure. tRNAs have two regions of fundamental functional importance: the anti-codon, which is responsible for specific mRNA codon recognition, and the 3' end, to which the tRNAs corresponding amino acid is attached (by aminoacyl-tRNA synthetases). tRNAs cope with the degeneracy of the genetic code in two manners: having more than one tRNA (with a specific anti-codon) for a particular amino acid; and 'wobble' base-pairing, i.e. permitting non-standard base-pairing at the 3rd anti-codon position. Lineage: Bacteria; Candidatus Uhriibacteriota. The record is from RNAcentral.
GCUCCCGCAGCUCAAUUAGAUAGAGUAUCUGGCUUCGAACCGAUGGGCUGUGCGUUCAAGUCGUACCGGGGGCC